UGCGUAGGCGGGCAUGUAAGUCCGUGGUGAAAUCUCCGAGCUUAACUCGGAAACUGCCAUGGAUACUAUGUGUCUUGAAUGUUGUGGAGGUGAGCGGAAUAUGUCAUGUAGCGGUGAAAUGCUUAGAUAUGACAUAGAACACCAAUUGCGAAGGCAGCUCACUACACAAAUAUUGACGCUGAGGCACGAAAGCGUGGGGAUCAAACAGGAUUAGAUACCCUGGUAGUCCACGCCCUAAACGAUGAUUACUCGACAUACGCGAUACACAAUGUGUGUCUGAGCGAAAGCAUUAAGUAAUCCACCUGGGAAGUACGACCGCAAGGUUGAA
Molecule: ribosomal RNA, 328 nt
Filed under: uncultured Sphingobacteriales bacterium
Lineage: Bacteria; Pseudomonadati; Bacteroidota; Sphingobacteriia; Sphingobacteriales
Description: bacterial SSU rRNA
Rfam family: Bacterial small subunit ribosomal RNA
Source: RNAcentral